Molecule: ribosomal RNA, 449 nt
Filed under: uncultured bacterium
Lineage: Bacteria
Description: partial 16S ribosomal RNA
Rfam family: Bacterial small subunit ribosomal RNA
Source: RNAcentral
UAGGGAAUCUUCCACAAUGGACGCAAGUCUGAUGGAGCAACGCCGCGUGAGUGAAGAAGGCUUUCGGGUCGUAAAACUCUGUUAUUGAAGAAGAACGUGUGUGACAGUAACUGGUCAUGCAGUGACGGUAUUCAAUCAGAAAGUCACGGCUAACUACGUGCCAGCAGCCGCGGUAAUACGUAGGUGGCAAGCGUCGUCCGGAUUUAUUGGGCGUAAGGCGAGUGCAGGCGGUCUUUUAAGUCUGAUGUGAAAGCCUUCGGCUUAACCGAAGAAGGGCAUCGGAAACUGGGAGACUUGAGUGCAGAAGAGGAGAGUGGAACUCCAUGUGUAGCGGUGAAAUGCGUAGAUAUAUGGAAGAACACCAGUGGCGAAGGCGGCUCUCUGGUCUGUAACUGACGCUGAGGCUCGAAAGCGUGGGUAGCAAACAGGAUUAGAUACCCUGGUAGUCC